RNAcentral lists this unclassified non-coding RNA (369 nucleotides) under uncultured fungus. RNAcentral describes it as "partial contains 5.8S ribosomal RNA and internal transcribed spacer 2". The stretch from base 1 to 133 matches the Rfam family "5.8S ribosomal RNA", at positions 22 to 154 of the family's 154-position model. The record is from RNAcentral. Lineage: Eukaryota; Fungi.
UGGUUCUGGCAUCGAUGAAGAACGCAGCGAAAUGCGAUAAGUAAUGUGAAUUGCAGAAUUCAGUGAAUCAUCGAAUCUUUGAACGCACAUUGCGCCCGCUAGUAUUCUGGCGGGCAUGCCUGUUCGAGCGUCAUUUCAACCCUCAGGUCUCCGGCAUCAACGGCCGGAGCUCCUGGUGUUGGGGAUCCGGGACCGGCCCCGCGCGGGCCGGCGCCCGGACCCCGAAAUGCAGUGGCGGUCUCGCCGUAGCGUCCCCUGCGUAGUAGCAACACCUCGCACCGGAUCGCGGCGCGGCCACGCCGUAAAAUUGCGGGUUCGCCCGCACAUUUUCUCAAGGUUGACCUCGAAUCAGGUAGGAAUACCCGCUGA